Molecule: ribosomal RNA, 497 nt
Filed under: uncultured bacterium
Lineage: Bacteria
Description: partial 16S ribosomal RNA
Rfam family: Bacterial small subunit ribosomal RNA
Source: RNAcentral
GAUGAACGCUGGCGGCGUGCCUAAUACAUGCAAGUCGAGCGAACGGACGAGAAGCUUGCUUCUCUGAUGUUAGUGGCGGACGGGUGAGUAACACGUGGAUAACCUACCUAUAAGACUGGGAUAACUUCGGGAAACCGGAGCUAAUACCGGAUGAUAUUUUGAACCGCAUGGUUCAAAAGUGAAAGACGGUCUUGCUGUCACUUAUAGAUGGAUCCGCGCUGCAUUAGCUAGUUGGUAAGGUAACGGCUUACCAAGGCAACGAUACAUAGCCGACCUGAGAGGGUGAUCGGCCACACUGGAACUGAGACACGGUCCAGACUCCUACGGGAGGCAGCAGUAGGGAAUCGUCCGCAAUGGGCGAAGGCCUGACGGAGCAACGCCGCGUGAGUGAUGAAGGUCUUCGGAUCGUAAAACUCUGUUAUUAGGGAAGAACAUAUGUGUAAGUAACUGUACACAUCUUGACGGUACCUAAUCAGAAAGCCACGGCUAACUACGUG